AGAGCACAGGGAAUGCUCCUUCCCCUCGAGUUCAAGGACAAAUAGCCCUUGUUUGGAAGUGAUGGAGUGGGAAGGGAAUCUUCCUGGCACAGAGACAGUGCAGGGAUUUCAGACCUGUUUCGAUCCUGAGCAGUCCAUGCCUGGGUGUCACCACUCUAUUUUUACCCAGCACUGCUCCAGCCCUGCCUCCACAGCCAGCUCAAGGUGACAGCGUGACCUCCGCAGCAGCAGCACCUGAGAGCAGCCCUGGGAUCCCCAGGAUUGACUCCUGCAGGGAACACAGCUCUGGAAGCAUCAAAAACAUGAAAGAAAGACAAAUUCCAAGCUCAGCACCUGGCCAAAUGUCAACACAGAGCCCAGAUGGUUUCAGACAAGCCACAGGACACGUUCAAAUUACACAGAACAAGCUUUCAGAGAUUUUCCAGCCUCCUGCCUGUAAGGGAAGCUUUCUAAGUGAAAGGUGAGCAUUUCCUAAUCCUACACUGAAGCUCCUCAACAUAACAAAGCAAUGGUUUUUAAGGUUAUUUCCACAUUCUUCAUUAGAUCUCGUUCAUUUUCCCUCCAACACAAGAUGAAUGUUGUCUUGUGCAAAUGGGUGAGAGCAAAGUCCAUUCAGAGUUGGUAUAAAGCUGUGAAAAAUUUCAUAUGAGGAGAGGAUGAAAAUGUACAGUAGUCUUAGAAACCUGAUUUAUUACUAAUAGGAGGCAUAUUAAAAGGUAUAAAACAAAUCAUCAGUGAUAUUAAAUGUAUCUACAACUCUCCAUAUCUCUGAUCUCUGUGAAAUGGGCUCACUUACACGUAUAUAAAUCCUCUGGACUGAGGAGAAUAAAUUUUAUUCUAAACUCAGCAAAUUUGCAGGUAACAAUAUUCUUUCAAAAUACAUUCUACGAAUUUUAAAAUUAAAUCUGGAUUGCAGCAAAACUUUUAGUUUCCCUUCCAGAUUGUUUUAGAUCCACCUCUGCAGCAUAACCAAAAAGAAUUUACCAUACAGUGGAAUUCUUUGCAUACCAGGCAGCUUUUAAUCCAUAACAGAGCACUUGAAUUAAAUCUUGAGAGCUAUGUGGGUUUUAAGAAACACUUGAUAUUGUUAAAAAAAUAGAAUUAAUCAAAUAAUAGAAUCAUUAGGGUUGGCAAAGACCUUUGAGGUCACCAAGCAAACCCAGCCCCACUGUCUUCACUAUUAAACCGUGUCCUCAAUGCCAUUUCCACAAGUUCUUAACACUUCCAGGGAUGGGAACUUCAUCUUUUCCAUGGGAAAAAGGUGCUUAUUUUGAAAGCAUGGACACAAUGAAAUGGAAAUCAACUUUUCCUUAUCCUGGCUGCCUCCCCAUCCUCCUAUUUGGAAUGUCUUAACUUCCGACUUCUUCGCUCACGCUCUGAUUUUAAUUAGAAUUUGGUUUGAAUUAUUACUUUUGCUGAGUGUAUUUCUUAUUCUUAUGGGGAAAAAGCAGCAGCCUGGCCUUGUUAAACAUCCUGUGUUUGUGUUCAGCAAAUCCUUGUGCACCCAAGCA
This is a long non-coding RNA of Onychostruthus taczanowskii (white-rumped snowfinch), 1511 nucleotides long. RefSeq lists it as uncharacterized. The transcript is spliced from 3 exons. NCBI's taxonomy places the organism in Eukaryota, Metazoa, Chordata, Aves, Passeriformes, Passeridae. The record is from RefSeq and is a predicted model, not a curated record.